RNAcentral lists this ribosomal RNA (430 nucleotides) under uncultured bacterium. RNAcentral's name for it is "partial 16S ribosomal RNA". It matches the Rfam family "Bacterial small subunit ribosomal RNA", at positions 354 to 796 of the family's 1533-position model. The record is from RNAcentral.
GUGGGGAAUAUUGGACAAUGGGCGCAAGCCUGAUCCAGCAACGCCGCGUGAGGGAUGACGGCCUUCGGGUUGUAAACCUCUUUCAGCAGGGACGAAGCGAAAGUGACGGUACCUGCAGAAGAAGGACCGGCCAACUACGUGCCAGCAGCCGCGGUAAUACGUAGGGUCCGAGCGUUGUCCGGAAUUAUUGGGCGUAAAGGGCUCGUAGGCGGUCUGUCGCGUCGGGAGUGAAAACUCAGGGCUCAACCCUGAGCGUGCUUCCGAUACGGGCAGACUAGAGGUAUGCAGGGGAGAACGGAAUUCCUGGUGUAGCGGUGGAAUGCGCAGAUAUCAGGAGGAACACCGGUGGCGAAGGCGGUUCUCUGGGCAUUACCUGACGCUGAGGAGCGAAAGCAUGGGGAGCGAACAGGAUUAGAAACCCUGGUAGUCC